GAAAUUUGUAGGACACAUAUUCUUAAAAUAGCAAGAAUUAAUGAAAGCAUAGGUUGAAGCAUGAGUUGGCUAAGUUAGGACACGUAAUCUGUUGCACGUUCAAACUCCUGCCCUUCUGAUGUUUUGCAAUUUUCCCAAUUCAACCUCAUCUUUUUGGUCUAUUUAUCUCUUGUGCUCAUCUUUUUGAUCUAUUUAUCUCUUGUGCUCCUACACAGCUUGAAUUUACAAAACUUUUCAUGUAUGUGCUUCCAUAGGUCAAUCGAUGUUUUAUUUGGUGUUACUGGGCCCUUCCUCACUCCUUACAUCUAGGACAAUGACAGAGUUGAAGCUUAAGAGUAGGACAUAAAAUCUGUUUUGUGUACACACUCCCGUCUUCUGAUGUUGAUAUAAAUCAUUUUUCCCACUUCGACCUCAUUGGUUUGGUCUAUUUCUCUCUCAUUUUCCUACAGCUUGAAUUUACUCAACUUUUCAUAUCUGUGCCUUCUAUAGGUCAAUUUAUUUGGUG
This 505-nucleotide unclassified non-coding RNA is filed under the name Hevea brasiliensis (rubber tree). The record is from RNAcentral. Lineage: Eukaryota; Viridiplantae; Streptophyta; Magnoliopsida; Malpighiales; Euphorbiaceae.